RNAcentral lists this unclassified non-coding RNA (440 nucleotides) under uncultured Thelephoraceae. RNAcentral's name for it is "sequence contains ITS2". The stretch from base 1 to 155 matches the Rfam family "5.8S ribosomal RNA". The record is from RNAcentral. Lineage: Eukaryota; Fungi; Basidiomycota; Agaricomycetes; Thelephorales; Thelephoraceae.
AACUUUUGGCAACGGAUCUCUUGGCUCUCUCAUCGAUGAAGAACGCAGCGAAAUGCGAUAAGUAAUGGGAAUUGCAGAAUUCAGUGAAUCAUCGAAUCUUUGAACGCACCUUGCGCCCCUUGGGUAUUCUUAGGGGCAUGCCUGUUUGAGUAUCAUGAACCCCUCAACUCCUCACGGUUUGCUGUGAUGAGCUUGGACUUCUGGAGGUUUUGCUGGCCUGUGGUCGGCUCCUCUCAAAUGGAUCAGCUUGCCAGUGUUUGGUGGCGUCAUGGGUGUGAUAAACUAUCUACGCUUGUGGCCGUCUGCCAGGUAACCUUCAGCAAUGGAGGUUCGCUGGAGCUCACAAAAGUCUUUCCUCGGUGAAGACAGCUUUUUGAACGUUCGAUCUCAAAUCAGGUAGGAUUACCCGCUGAACUUAAGCAUAUCAAUAAGCGGAGGCU